RNAcentral lists this ribosomal RNA (497 nucleotides) under uncultured bacterium. Its description in RNAcentral is "partial 16S ribosomal RNA". It matches the Rfam family "Bacterial small subunit ribosomal RNA", at positions 28 to 507 of the family's 1533-position model. The record is from RNAcentral.
GAUGAACGCUGGCGGCGUGCCUAAUACAUGCAAGUCGAGCGAACGGACGCGAAGCUUUCUUCUCUGAUGUUAGCGGCGGAAGGGUGAGUAACACGUGGAUAACCUACCUAUAAGACUGGGAUAACUUCGUGAAACCGUAGCUAAUACCGGAUAAUAUUUUGUACCGCAUGGUUCAGAAGUGAAAGACGGUCUUGCUGUCACUUAUAGAUGGAUCCGCGCUGCAUUAGCUAGUUGGUAAGGUAACGGCUUACCAAGGCAACGAUGCAUAGCCGACCUGAGAGGGUGAUCGGCCACACUGGAACUGAGACACGGCCCAGACUCCUACGGGAGGCAGCAGUAGGGAAUCUUCCGCAAUGGGCGAAAGCCUGACGGAGCAACGCCGCGUGAGUGAUGAAGGUCUUCGGAUCGUAAAACUCUGUUAUUAGGGAAGAACAUAUGUGUAAGUAACUGAGCACAUCGUGACGGUACCUAAUCAGAAAGCCACGGCUAACUACGUG